CAACCUUAGCAUUAUUAAUAACGUGAUUGCUUGCAACACAUUUCAAUGCUCACAUAACAUAGACCCAGAAAUUAAAUUAAAUAUGUUUCCUUUUCUUCUUCUUAUUCUCCUCUCCUUGUCAUGGAGAAUUAGUGCUUCAGCUCAACCUGCCGAAGAAUUUCUUCGUUGCCUUUCCCUUCGUUUUCACAACUCUUCUUCUAUUGCAAAGCUCGUUUACACAUACCAUAAUUCUUCUUACUCCUCUGUUUUGAAAUCAUCUGCUCAAAAUUUCAGGUUCACAACACCUUCUACGCCUACACCUUUGGCCAUUGUAACACCAUUCCACGCAUCCCACAUCCAAGCAACAGUUUAUUGCUGUAGAAAACAUGGACUGCAAGUCAGAACUCGGAGUGGGGGUCAUGACUUUGAGGGUCUUUCUUAUACUACAGCUUAUAAAGUUCCGUUUGUGGUCAUCGAUUUGGUGAAUCUCCGAUCAGUUCAGGUUAACGUUGAAAAAGCUACGGCAUGGGUUGAAUCUGGUGCAACUGUUGGUGAAUUAUACUAUGAAAUUGCUCGGAAAACUAGAACUCUUGCCUUUCCGGCUGGUAUCGGCCACACCGUGGGUAUUGGUGGACAAUUGAGUGGAGGAGGCUAUGGCGUAUUGUUUCGAAAAUAUGGUCUUGCCUCAGAUAAUGUAAUCGACGCUCGUUUAAUUGAUGCUUAUGGGAGAAUUCUUGAUAAAAAAUCGAUGGGAGAAGAUCUGUUUUGGGCCAUUCGGGGAGGUGGUGGAGGUAGCUUUGGUAUAGUUCUUGCAUGGAAAGUGAAAUUGGUUCCAGUUCCAGCUAAUGUUACUGCUUGUACAGUGAGCAAAACGCUAGAGCAAAAUGCAACCAAACUUGUUCACCAGUGGCAGUCUAUUGCGCGCAAAUUUCCCAAAGAAAUACAAUCGAGUAUUGCCAUAGCAAGGGUGAAUUCAAGUGAAGAUGGGAAGAUGACGAUACAAGCAAGUUACGGUUCCGUGUUUCUUGGAAGCAUUGAUGAGCUUAUUCCAUUGAUGGAAGAGAAAUUCCCUGAACUUGGACUAGUGAAAGAAGAUUGCUUGGAGAUGAGUUGGGCUGAAUCUAUUCUCUACAGUGCCCUAUCUAUAAUCGGAUUACCAUUGGAAACUUUACUUAAUAGGACUCAAAAGUCAGCUCUUUCGCAAACAUUCUUCAAAGCAAAAUCUGACUUCGUAAAACAACCGAUUUCUGAAUCGGGGUUCGAAGGAUUAUGGCCCAAGUUUUACGAGGAUGAAGCAAAAUCCGCAGUUAUGGUAUUGGUGGCUUAUGGAGGCAAAAUGGAUGAGAUUCCUGAGACCGAAUAUCCAUAUCCUCACAGAGCUGGCAACCUCUAUAGCAUCUUAUACGUGGUGAAUUGGGAAGAAGAGGAAAACAAAAACUCUGAAAAGUUCAUGAAUUGGAUGAGGAGAGUGUACAGUUACAUGACUCCCUACGUUUCAAAAUCACCACGGGAAGCAUAUGUGAAUUACAGAGAUCUUGACAUCGGGACUAACAAAUUUAACCACGACAAAGGAAGCUAUACAGAAGCUAAGGUUUGGGGUCUUAAAUAUUUUAAGAACAACUUCGACAAGUUGGUGCAUGUAAAGACAAAGGUUGAUCCCCAAAACUUCUUUAAACAUGAACAAAGCAUCCCUCCUCUUUUUUAAUUUCGAAGUGUAGAAUUUUUAGAAGAAAUUUAUGUAUGAUGUUUUUAUAUAUCAUAUAGAAUUUCUUUUUAAAAUACUUUCAUAAGACUAAAUUACAUGUCAUUCAUAAACUAUUAUACAUAUGAUGUAGACUACGUCAAUUAUAAAUUUGUAAUAAACUAUUAUCGUUCCAUCACAAUUUUUAUCUAAUCAUCUAUUUGACUAAUUGGCAACCAUAGAAUUGACUUGUAAAACAACUAAAAUUUGAACUCAAAUCGCAAUUUUGGUAUAAUUAUUUUUAGGUCCCUUGACCUUGACUACUUAAUUCUUUUUCUAAAAAAUAAUGCCACGUAGUAGCAUCCAAUCAGUCCACAUGUUAAGCCAUGUCAAAUUUUAACAUCAUUCAAGGAAGGUACCACACUGAUAAGUGUAGUUAAAGUUAAGGUAUCAAAAUCGAUUUUUUAAAAGUUUAAGUAUCACAUUAGAAGACUUGUCAAAGUUUAGGUACCAAAUAUAUCAUUACCCAUUUCAAUAAUAACAGACAAGAUUAUCUAUAAUAAGAUUUUUUUUAUAUAAAUAAUGUCACUCGAUGUGAUAGGAAUGAUCCACAUGUCAAAGAAUAUAUGUAAUAUCUCGAAAAUUAUUACUGUAAUACCCCAAAAAUUACUACUGUAAGAAAGUAAGUAUCCUUGAUAUAGUAAAAUAAGGAAAUAAAGUGACAAAAAGGGAAAUUUUUAGUUAUGGCAACAUUUGCAAGUAUAUUAUGAUAUAUUAAUUCAAGAAAGGAUUAAAUCGCAAAAGUGAGAAAAGAAGAGUAAAUACUCAAAAUUUGAGGGGAUAAAGUGUAAAUAUGAAAAAGUUGAAGGACCAAUUGUUAAAAUAUUUUAUGGGUGGAAUAAUCCAGAAACUAAGGAAAACAGAUGAAUUAGGACCAAAUUGAAAAGGUGAAGAAUAUUGAGGGACUAAAUCACAAUUUUACCAAAUUAAGUGAUGACUCAAGGAUGGAAUUUUUAAAGAUUAUGAAGGGCAAAAUGAUCAAUUAGAAGAGAGAAAUCUAGAAUGCAAUGAUGAUGUUGGAGAUAUUUUAGAUUAAUUAAAUAAAUAAAUAUUAGUUUAUUAAUAUUUUAAUUUGAUUUUUAAAUAAAAUUUUAUUAUUUUAUUAUUAUUUUAUUUAGUAUAUAUAUAAGAAAAGGAAGAUGAAGAAUCACCAUCCCACCAUUUUUUCCAUGCACCAACGUGAGAAGAAGAGAGAUAGAAAGAAAGUUUUACUUUCUUUACAAUUUGGUCCUUCCACCAAAAAUUUUCUAUUUUCACCUAGAAAUCAAAAGAAUUUCCAUAUCCAUCAAGAGAGAAAGAUAACAAGGAGACUAUGAGAGUAGAAUAUCAAGUUAGAUUCAAGAAAUAGAAGCUAGAGGAGAGAUAAAAUCAAGUUAAAGUUUGAAACUAAUAGGACAAGGUAAGAACAUCAAGAUUUCAAUAUAUUUUUAAGUUUGAUAUUAUUGAAAAAGCAUGGAAAUGAUGUUAUAGUAGAGUUUUCUUAAAUAAGUUCUUAUGUUCUUGAUAUAUUAGUGAAGGGAAAUACGAGAAAGUGAUGGGAAAUAUUAUAGAAAAAAGGAAUAAAUGAGUUUUAAACUUAGUAAUCAACACCUUGCAUUAAAACAGUUUUGGACAGCAGCAGUAGUCUAACUUUGAAAAAUCACCAAAAAUUGUGGGAAUCAAAUUAGAAUAUGAAUAAAAUAUGAAAUUAAAUCUUAAUGAGUCUAGUUUCUCAUAGAAGAAACUAUGUAAGCAAUAGAGUUGUAAAUCAUGAGAUAUAAUAAAUUUUGUGAGACAAGGUCAGAAUGAUUUCGGGUUCCCCUGUUCUGAUUUUGGAAAAUCAUAAAAAAAUUGAUAAAAAUAAUUAGGGGCUUAUAUUUAUAUUUUUAAAUCCUUAAUGAGUCUAUUUUCAAUAGAAACCAACGAUAACAUCAUCUGAAUCCCGUACGAGGAGAUAAUUAUUUUUUAGUGAAGAAGGGUUGAAACUGUCAAACAGCAGAACAGUGAUGAUUUUAAAGAAUAAAAUGUACUUAUUGGCUAAACCAUAAAUUCUGAAAAUUUUAUGGUAAGAAGAUAUGUGAGUCUAGUUUCACAGAAAUUUAGCAUAUCUUAAUUCGGAGUUCCGUAGCUCAAGAUAUAAAUAAUUUAGUGACUAUACCUCAAGUGGACAGCUUUGAAUGAACAUAUAAAUAAAUAGUAAAAUUAUAGAUAAUGUUACAUAUAAGCAUGUUAUAUACAUUAAGGAUGUGGAAUGGAGAGGAGGAGGAGGAAAAUAUAUGAUUACUCAACUAGCAUGAGUUUUCAUUAAAAUGGCUAAUUUGCAUGUUUUAGGUUCAGGGACUAAAUUGAAUAAAAGUAAAAUUUUAAGGGUAAAUUUGUAAAAAUGAAUUGUUUUAUUAUUUAAAUUAAUAAAUUGAAUGAAAUAUUAAUUUAGAUCAAGAUUGGGUGGAAAUUCGAGAAAAAUAGAAAAUUACCAAAAUGUCCGUGAAUUUUGGUAUUUCUUCAAUUUAGCCUGGUAAGUUCGUAUGAACUAUGUUCUGUAUAAUUUUAAUUAAAGUAAAUGUUAUUUGGUGAUAAAUAUUAUAUAAAUAUGUGUUUUAUUCUUGGAAUUGAAUUAUUAUUGGUAAUAUGUAUAAUUAUUAGAUGCAUUGAAAUGAUUAUCAGAAACUUAAUUGGGUUGGAAGCUUGUCGGAGAUAUAUCACACUAUCCAUUGGUUCUAUCGGUAAUUUUGGAUGAUUUGAUUCUGGUUAUAAUGGCAUGUAUAAGUUAAAUUGGCCAACGUUAGCUCAUUAAUGUUUUGAUUUUUAUUGGUUAUAAGUAUGAAUGCUUGAUGAAAUGAAAUGUCUGUAAAUUAAUUUGUAAACUCCGAUAAUGCUCUAUAACCCUAUUCUGGCGAUGGAUACGGGUUAGAGGUGUUACAUUUAUUGGUAUCAGAGCUACGGUUUAGUCGAUUCUCGGACCGAACAUAGCAUAUGCGAAGUUUAGAAAUACAUGCCAUUAUAUAACCUGUGAUAGUGUGAUAUCUCUCGACUCUGGUGAGAUUUGUUUUACUCAUAGACAGGAAUGCUUUCCAAACCGAGCUAAAUUCCAAUAAUGUUGAAAGCGAUGCUCAAGUAUAUAUAAAAAAAAAAGUUGAUUAUGAUGAAUCGGAACUCAUAAAGGUAUGAAUAAAUGUUUUAUAAUACAUGAUGAUGAAUAUUAUGUUAUAUGUACUAUUAAAAGUAAAUUAUAGUGCUACACGAACUAUUGUGCUAAUAACUAAAUCAUAAAAUAUACAAAAGUAAUAUAGGAAGUAUAUGAUAAGGAUUAUUAGGGAAUUAGGGAUGAAUAGUGAAUUUUGAAAUAUAUUACAUGUGCUAAAGAUAGAGAAGAUAUAAAUGCACGAAUUAUUGGUACAAGAAUUAAAUUGUAAAACAUGUAAAAGUAUUGUGCGAAAAGUGUAAAAGUGAUAUGCAUGCAUGAAAUAAUUUGUCCAAGUAGACAGGAUUAGAACUAUUAGGAUAUUAAGGGAGUUUAGCGUGCUCUCUGAUUAUUAGCAUGUCAGUGUUCUCUGAUUACUAGCACGUCAGUGCUCUCUGAUUAAUUAUAUAAAAUUAAAAUUUCUUUAUCACAUUUCACACUAAAUCUAAAUCAAUAUAUAAUUUUAAGAUUUAUCAUUUAUAUAUUUGAAGCAAUUAAAAUUUUGUGUUAUAGUUGUUAAAUGAAUAAAUUAUUAUUGAUUAUAAUUGUGGAGCAAUGGAUAGAUGUCCACUUAAAUAGAUGAUGCUACUAUCCAAGAAAUCUUCAUUGUCAAGUGGGAUCAGAUUCGUUUUUGAAUUCGGCUCUUGGAGCAAAGCUAAUGGCAAUGAUGACAAAUACGGCAGCUGAAACAAUGGCCCUAGCAGAUGACCCUGCCCACCAACCUUAGCAUUAUUAAUAACGUGAUUGCUUGCAACACAUUUCAAUGCUCACAUAACAUAGACCCAGAAAUUAAAUUAAAUAUGUUUCCUUUUCUUCUUCUUAUUCUCCUCUCCUUGACAUGGAGAAUUAGUGCUUCAGCUCAACCUGCCGAGGAAUUUCUUCGUUGCCUUUCCCUUCGUUUUCACAACUCUUCUUCUAUUGCAAAGCUCGUUUACACGUAACAUAAUUCUUCUUACUCCUCUGUUUUGAAAUCAUCUGCUCAAAAUUUCAGGUUCACAACACCUACGCCUACACCUUUGGCCAUUGUAACACCAUUCCACGCAUCCCACAUCCAAGCAACAGUUUAUUGUUGUAGAAAACAUGGACUGCAAGUCAGAACUCGGAGUGGGGGUCAUGACU
RNAcentral lists this long non-coding RNA (5999 nucleotides) under Gossypium raimondii (Peruvian cotton). Its description in RNAcentral is "long non-coding RNA (GRAI_LNC006810)". Lineage: Eukaryota; Viridiplantae; Streptophyta; Magnoliopsida; Malvales; Malvaceae. The record is from RNAcentral.